GACGAACGCUGGCGGCGUGCUUAACACAUGCAAGUCGAACGGAAAGGCCCUGCUUUUGUGGGGUGCUCGAGUGGCGAACGGGUGAGUAACACGUGAGUAACCUGCCCUUGACUUUGGGAUAACUUCAGGAAACUGGGGCUAAUACCGGAUAGGAGCUCCUGCUGCAUGGUGGGGGUUGGAAAGGUUCGGCGGUUGGGGAUGGACUAGCGGCUUAUCAGCUUGUUGGUGGGGUAGUGGCUUACCAAGGCUUUGACGGGUAGCCGGCCUGAGAGGGUGACCGGCCACAUUGGGACUGAGAUACGGCCCAGACUCGUACGGGAGGCAGCAGUGGGGAAUAUUGCACAAUGGGCGGAAGCCUGAUGCAGCAACGCCGCGUGCGGGAUGACGGCCUUCGGGUUGUAAACCGAUUUCGCCUGUGACGAAGCGUGAGUGACGGUAAUGGGUAAAGAAGCACCGGCUAACUACGUG
RNAcentral lists this ribosomal RNA (468 nucleotides) under uncultured bacterium. RNAcentral's name for it is "partial 16S ribosomal RNA". It matches the Rfam family "Bacterial small subunit ribosomal RNA", at positions 28 to 507 of the family's 1533-position model. The record is from RNAcentral.